Molecule: long non-coding RNA, 2610 nt
Filed under: Salmo salar (Atlantic salmon)
Lineage: Eukaryota; Metazoa; Chordata; Actinopteri; Salmoniformes; Salmonidae
Description: lncRNA (ENSSSAG00000086725.1)
Source: RNAcentral
AUUUAACACUUCACCUAAAUGAAUCCGGACGGAUGUCUGAAACAUGUAUUCACUGACCAUGUCUGUUCAAUCUCCACUCAUAAAGCUAGUAGCGGCACUUGUUAGCAUAUGUUUGAUGCAGUGACCAUGAUCAGUUUUACAACCUCGGUGUAAGGUGUCCUAUUAAUACCGCAUGAUGAUUAUAGUGAUGAUAUAAUAUAUGAUGAUAUAAUCAUCAUGAUGAUUAUAUCCAUAGUCUGUUAGCCUAUGGAUGCUCAUAUCUACCUGUUAGUAAUGGAAUGUCAUAUAAUAUGAUGAUCUUAUCGUCAGACUUUGAUUCCUAUAUUUGUUUUGACAUAAUUGCCAAAACUGUGUGCGUCAUGAUGCAAUCAGAUGUUUGGGAAAUCCCGGAUUGUAAUAACGCAUUUAUCGUUGACGGUCGUCUAGCCUCUACACCUUUAAGACGUCGAAACUGUGCGAAUUGGGAGUGGGCAUAUGUUCGACUGUAAAAUCACAACACUUCGCAAUGGGAAAACUGUGAAGAGGACCAUCUGCGCUGACCACUAGUUAUAGAAAAGCCAGCGACAACGAUAUUUAUCACAUCGACACAAAAAUAUCUGCCGGUAUCCUGCAUGUUGUACUGUUGUGGAAGCAAGGACAAGGAGAAGCAGCGCCCGGGCGCUGCAGAGGUGUCGAGAGUUCUAGAGACAGAGACAGAGAAAAACCGAAAGAGCCAAGAAAGUGCACCUCAACCACUGGACAUGUACGGAAUAGCGACGAUGCCCGAGCUUCUACCACCCUCUGGCGUACUCCAGCCCAGCUCAGUAAUCCCACGCGAGUCGGGUGAGGUGCCUGGUUUGUGGAAUGGAUUCAACAGGGGUGUGCUGAGUUUUGACUCCCCCCAGCGGAGACGAGGCCAACGGGCCCCGAAGUUAGGGCAAAUAGGACGGUCGAAGAGAGUGGUUAUAGAGGAUGACGACUUGGAUGAUGUCAUGAAACACAAUGGCCUCCCCAUAUCAAUCAAUAUCUCUCCUGUUGCCUGAACAACUCUGAUAGUGUCCAGACCUCAAGAGGCUAUUGUGCUCAUUUGUGAAAUUCUGAAGUGUAUACCACUUGUUCUGGACAAUGUCCAAUUCAGGUGCCCAUUGCAAAGUUUACAAUAGUAGCAUGCGCAUCACAUGUAGUUUAGCUUUUCCUGGACACAGGAAGGUCGGUGUCCCAAGGAAAUUGAAGUAAAAAACAGUGCAUCUUUGCUUCAGCUGCUGUUCUGGUGUUGAAGGGGGGACUUUGUGUCCUGAGGAGAGGGGAGUAAUUAGGAUAGAUUUGGGUCCGGACAGGCUGAAACAUAAGCACACAAGAGAAGGCCCUACCCAUCAAGACCUGCCCCUUCAAAAUGAGUGGACCUGUUUGUUUGUUGUUCAGUCUUUAGUGUCUGUAUUUUAAACACUCCAUCCAAGAUGUUAUUUUAAUUUAUGUGUCAAUCCAACCCAUAUCUAAUUGAGAAAACAGCUACUCAUAGUGCUGGGCAGUGUUUUCACAAUAUUAUUUAUUUUACAUUAUGUACGCUUUUUCAGUGUUUCACAUAUUAUGUUGACAACACUUAUUUUAGUUUUUGACGGAUGACAACACUGUCUCAUUUUGGUGCAAACUAAUUAUCUGUAAAAUCUGUUGUAAAACGUGUUAGAUACACUGAAGGCUUUAAUUUGCUGUUGUAACAUGUCAUAAUCAUUGUCUUAGUAUAACUGUAUGUUACUUUUACCCCUGAGUUGCUAGACAAAAAGAGUUCCCACUGUGAACUAUUUAUGGAACUUCUAUGUAUCCCUUUGAGGUGUAAUAUACACAUUUUUUACAACCAGCUUCCUGUUAUAUUCUUCACCAUAAUGCCACAUCUGUUAGAAAAGUCAUGUGACAUUCAGAUAAGUAGCCUAACUGAUGUUAAACCCAGCUAUGAAGCAGAACACUACAUGGAGGAGCAACUCACAAGGAAUUUGGUGUAAGACUCACCGAGCUUUGAGGAAUACAUUGUUUUGAUGUAAUCAUUGUUCAGUUUGGCUGUCAUCUCUUUGUCAAGAUUAAUAGAUGUAAAGUUAUAAAAUGUACCCCUCACUAGAGAGAUACAAGCAGGGUUUAGUUUAAAUCAAUUCACUUUACAAGUGUUUUCUAAAUGGCAUGUAUUAUUGUAAAUCCUCCUUGAAUCUACCUGUUAGUGUUUUCCAACCCUUUUCAGUUAUCAAAUUUUGUCACAUGCACCGAAUACAACAGGUGUAGACCUUACCGUGAAAUGCUUACUUACAAGCCCUUAACAAUGCAGUUAAGAAAAUAUUUAAGCAAAUUGUACCAAGAGAAUUUUGCUCUACCCAGAGUACCCCUGACAUACCCCCUCAUGUGCAUUAUACCAGUAUUAUCUCACGAGUCUUCUCAAGUACCCCCCGUCAAGUACCCCCAGGGGUCCUAGUAACCCGGUUUGGGAACCACUGUGUUAGUGUGAUCCGCUGUUGUGUAAUGGUAGUAUGCACCAUCAGAUGGCGAUAAAGUCAAAGGAACAGUCGUCAGCCCAAAAUCUCUUACUCAACCCCUCAAUCUGUUAUUCAUUUGUAAUAAAACCUGUUUGUCUUUGGAAAGUCACAAGCU